This 310-nucleotide long non-coding RNA is filed under the name Jatropha curcas. RNAcentral's name for it is "long non-coding RNA (JCUR_LNC003537)". Lineage: Eukaryota; Viridiplantae; Streptophyta; Magnoliopsida; Malpighiales; Euphorbiaceae. The record is from RNAcentral.
UCUUUCUUUCUUUCUUUUCUGUUUCUUUUUCUUUCCUGCGCCUGCGACUCCACUGCCGGCAGAAGCAGAUCGUGCCUCCAUCAGCUCGAUCGGACUCCGCCGCGCGCCACAGCCAUUCUCCUUCGCUCGAUCGCUGCUCCUCGCGACCCCGGCCACAGCUCUGCCACCAGAUCGCGCAGCGCCACCACUGCAGCUCAACUUCUCCUGCGUCGAUCUCAGGUGGUCCAGCCGCUUCCAGUGCGCGUAGCUCCGAUCCGGCACGCGUAAAUUCCCGAUCUAGCGAAAUCCAACAAGAAAAAGUAUAUUUGCG